RNAcentral lists this ribosomal RNA (540 nucleotides) under uncultured bacterium. RNAcentral's name for it is "bacterial SSU rRNA". It matches the Rfam family "Bacterial small subunit ribosomal RNA", at positions 355 to 912 of the family's 1533-position model. The record is from RNAcentral.
UGGGGAAUCUUGGACAAUGGGGGCAACCCUGAUCCAGCCAUGCCGCGUGAGUGAUGAAGGCCUUAGGGUCGUAAAGCUCUUUCGCCUGUGAAGAUAAUGACGGUAGCAGGUAAAGAAACCCCGGCUAACUCCGUGCCAGCAGCCGCGGUAAUACGGAGGGGGUUAGCGUUGUUCGGAAUUACUGGGCGUAAAGCGCACGUAGGCGGACCAGAAAGUUGGGGGUGAAAUCCCGGGGCUCAACCCCGGAACUGCCUCCAAAACUAUUGGUCUAGAGUUCGAGAGAGGUGAGUGGAAUUCCAAGUGUAGAGGUGAAAUUCGUAGAUAUUUGGAGGAACACCAGUGGCGAAGGCGGCUCACUGGCUCGAUACUGACGCUGAGGUGCGAAAGUGUGGGGAGCAAACAGGAUUAGAUACCCUGGUAGUCCACACCGUAAAACGAUGAAUGCCAGUCGUCGGGUAGCAUGCUAUUCGGUGACACACCUAACGGAUUAAGCAUUCCGCCUGGGGAGUACGGUCGCAAGAUUAAAACUCAAAGGAAUUG